AGCUCCGCGGGUGCAGGGGCCAUUCAGGCCUGAAGGCACUCUCCCCCCCCGACUCCUCAACAAUACCUCCCUGUCAUUUCCUCCUCACACACAUUGGACUUUCCCCUCUCCUCUGCAAGGAGGGGCGACGUGAAGGCGGUAGGCAGGUUCCCGCGGAAACUACCUCCGGCUGGCCUCUAUCAAAGAAGGCCCCGCCAGGCAGGCGAGCCCUGCCGGCUUGCCUCACUAGAGGCUCGUAUCGCAAAAGCUGCCCUCCUAUUUUUUCCUCCCUGCCUCACCGGCUGCGGCCGCCUCCAGUGUCCGCCACGCGCUGCCUCUUCGUCCUCACCGUGUCUGCUCCGGUCCGCUCCGUAGGCCAAGCAGGGAGGCGGGCGGGAGCUGAGAGCAGGCGCUCCUCGGAAUGGAAAAGGAGGAACAAGCACCAGCGAGGAGCCGGCAAGGGAGGAAGCGGGGAGAGAAACCACUAGUCAACCAGCCGGUCCCGCCUCGUACUCCCUUCCCGGAUGGAGGAAGGCCGAGCCCGUGACUCAGGCAGGCCAAUCCCGAAGCCAAGAUGAGGAGAGCCGACUCUCCUCUGACAGGCGCCCUCAGAAGACAGCCUCCUCGUCACUGCACGCGUUCCCAGCAGGGUUGAGCUCUGAAAAUGCAAGUCUUGCAAGUUUAUAGCAGCUGGUAACUGGCAGGCAUCCACGGUGCUAGCAAGAAACCUCCCUGCCUCCUGUUCUUCAAACAUUUUCACUUAAACCAUUUUUGGAUGUUUUUUUUAAUCAAUAAGGACAAAUUAACGUACAUGCAGCAAGUAGAAAAAUAAAGGUGGACAAAACUGAA
Rhineura floridana is the source of this 828-nucleotide long non-coding RNA. RefSeq lists it as uncharacterized. The record is from RefSeq and is a predicted model, not a curated record. The transcript has 2 exons. Lineage: Eukaryota; Metazoa; Chordata; Lepidosauria; Squamata; Rhineuridae.